RNAcentral lists this ribosomal RNA (465 nucleotides) under uncultured bacterium. Its description in RNAcentral is "partial 16S ribosomal RNA". It matches the Rfam family "Bacterial small subunit ribosomal RNA", at positions 339 to 795 of the family's 1533-position model. The record is from RNAcentral.
CUACGGGUGGCUGCAGUGGGGAAUAUUGGACAAUGGGGGAAACCCUGAUCCAGCAAUGCCGCGUGUGUGAAGAAGGCCUGCGGGUUGUAAAGCACUUUCGGUUGGGAGGACUGCUUCUAGCACUAAUAUUGUUGGAAGUUGACGUUACCUUCAGAAGAAGCACCGGCUAACUCCGUGCCAGCAGCCGCGGUAAUACGGAAGGUGCAAGCGUUAAUCGGAAUUACUGGGCGUAAAGCGCGCGUAGGCGGCUAGAUCAGUCGGGUGUGAAAGCCCCGGGCUUAACCUGGGAACUGCAUCCGAUACUGUCUAGCUGGAGUACAGGAGAGGAGGGUGGAAUUCCACAUGUAGCGGUGAAAUGCGUAGAUAUGUGGAGGAACACCAAUGGCGAAGGCAGCUCUCUGGCCUGAUACUGACGCUGAGGUGCGAAAGCGUGGGGAGCAAACAGGAUUAGAUACCCGGGUAGUC